This 500-nucleotide ribosomal RNA is filed under the name uncultured Myrionecta. RNAcentral describes it as "SSU rRNA". It matches the Rfam family "Eukaryotic small subunit ribosomal RNA", at positions 34 to 600 of the family's 1831-position model. Lineage: Eukaryota; Ciliophora; Litostomatea; Cyclotrichida; Mesodiniidae. The record is from RNAcentral.
AUUGUUCAGAUAGCCAUGCACGUCUAAGUACAAACUAAAUGAUGGUGAAACUGCAAAUGGCUCAUUACAACGGUUAUGAUGUACCCGGGAGUUCCGAUGGAUAUUUCCAGUAACACUAGAACUAAUACAUGUCCCUGCGUUUAUUAGUUUCGCACAGUCCGUCGCUGAGUCAUGGUAAACAGUUGAUCGACUCGACGUCCCGGAACAGUUUCCGCCCCAUCAGCUUCGAUGGUUGGGUAUUGGCCUACCAUUGCAACAACGGGUAACGAGGAAUUAGGGUUUGAUUUCGGAGAGGGAGCCUGAGAAACGGCUACCACAUCUACGGAUGGCAGCAGGCGCGCAAAUUACCCAAUGCAGACACUGUGAGGUAGUGACGAGAAAUAAUAAAGCGGGACUUCUGUUUCGCUAUUAUAAUGAGGAAUAACCAAAGGUCAUUCCGAUUAGCAACUGAUGGGAAAGUCUGGUGCCAGCAGCCGCGGUAAUACCAGCGUCAGUAGCAU